CAUCAUAUUGAAACACUAGUUCCCAUAUGAACACCAAAGUUAAGCAACAUUGAGCCUGGUCAAUACCUAGAUUGGUGACUGCUUGGUAAUACCAGGUGCUGUAAU
Non-coding RNA from Acanthosepion pharaonis, 105 nucleotides. NCBI's taxonomy places the organism in Eukaryota, Metazoa, Mollusca, Cephalopoda, Sepiida, Sepiidae. The record is from the annotation of a GenBank genome assembly.